CCCUUAGAUGUUCGGGGCCGCACGCGCGCUACACUGACCAGUGCAACAAGCAUCCGUCCUUGGCCGACAGGCCCGGGCAAUCUUUGAACGCUGGUCGUGAUGGGGAUAGACUUUUGCAAUUUUUGGUCUUCAACGAGGAAUUCCUAGUAAACGCAAGUCAUCAACUUGCAUUGAUUACGUCCCUGCCCUUUGUACACACCGCCCGUCGCACCUACCGAUUGAAUGGUCCGGUGAAGCCUCCGGAUUGGCGCGCACCUCGGUGCCGCCGAGAAGUUGGCUAAACCUUACCAUUUAGAGGAAGGUGAAGUCGUAACA
RNAcentral lists this ribosomal RNA (315 nucleotides) under uncultured eukaryote. RNAcentral's name for it is "partial 18S ribosomal RNA". It matches the Rfam family "Eukaryotic small subunit ribosomal RNA", at positions 1470 to 1796 of the family's 1831-position model. The record is from RNAcentral.